Paramuricea clavata is the source of this 425-nucleotide non-coding RNA. The record is from the annotation of a GenBank genome assembly. NCBI's taxonomy places the organism in Eukaryota, Metazoa, Cnidaria, Anthozoa, Malacalcyonacea, Plexauridae.
GUGGAACUGAAGCGACUAGAGAGGGCUCUCAGGGGGGGGGGGAGACGAAGCACGGGUGCAACUACGACUGUAGUUAAACUUUGCCCAUGUCUAUCGUCCAGUUCACAUUUUCGGGACAGACAGCCUCGUACCCAGGCGCUUUGAUGGUAAUUGGGGAUCAGAUUUUUCUACGAUACCGCAAUACUCUUUGUCCGCGGUUUGCAUCGUAACGGCGUUACAGUUUAGCGCAUGCAACCAAACUCGUGUAUAAAACUUUUAUUCAGCUGAAUAAAAAUUGCACAAAUAUGAGCAAAAAUAAACGAAAACGACGAUUAAAGGAGGAAGAUUUUAAGAAAAAGAAGCUUAAAGUUGGUAAAAAGCUACCAAUGCCGGAUAAUGUGACCAAAACCAGUUUUAAAGCAAGAAGCAUCAACAUUUCCCAACAG